UUAAGCGACUAAGCGUACACGGUGGAUGCCCUGGCAGUCAGAGGCGAUGAAGGACGUGCUAAUCUGCGAUAAGCGUCGGUAAGGUGAUAUGAACCGUUAUAACCGGCGAUUUCCGAAUGGGGAAACCCAGUGUGUUUCGACACACUAUCAUUAACUGAAUCCAUAGGUUAAUGAGGCGAACCGGGGGAACUGAAACAUCUAAGUACCCCGAGGAAAAGAAAUCAACCGAGAUUCCCCCAGUAGCGGCGAGCGAACGGGGAGCAGCCCAGAGCCUGAAUCAGUGUGUGUGUUAGUGGAAGCGUCUGGAAAGGCGCGCGAUACAGGGUGACAGCCCCGUACACAAAAAUGCACAUGCUGUGAGCUCGAUGAGUAGGGCGGGACACGUGGUAUCCUGUCUGAAUAUGGGGGGACCAUCCUCCAAGGCUAAAUACUCCUGACUGACCGAUAGUGAACCAGUACCGUGAGGGAAAGGCGAAAAGAACCCCGGCGAGGGGAGUGAAAAAGAACCUGAAACCGUGUACGUACAAGCAGUGGGAGCACGCUUAGGCGUGUGACUGCGUACCUUUUGUAUAAUGGGUCAGCGACUUAUAUUCUGUAGCAAGGUUAACCGAAUAGGGGAGCCGAAGGGAAACCGAGUCUUAACUGGGCGUUAAGUUGCAGGGUAUAGACCCGAAACCCGGUGAUCUAGCCAUGGGCAGGUUGAAGGUUGGGUAACACUAACUGGAGGACCGAACCGACUAAUGUUGAAAAAUUAGCGGAUGACUUGUGGCUGGGGGUGAAAGGCCAAUCAAACCGGGAGAUAGCUGGUUCUCCCCGAAAGCUAUUUAGGUAGCGCCUCGUGAAUUCAUCUCCGGGGGUAGAGCACUGUUUCGGCAAGGGGGUCAUCCCGACUUACCAACCCGAUGCAAACUGCGAAUACCGGAGAAUGUUAUCACGGGAGACACACGGCGGGUGCUAACGUCCGUCGUGAAGAGGGAAACAACCCAGACCGCCAGCUAAGGUCCCAAAGUCAUGGUUAAGUGGGAAACGAUGUGGGAAGGCCCAGACAGCCAGGAUGUUGGCUUAGAAGCAGCCAUCAUUUAAAGAAAGCGUAAUAGCUCACUGGUCGAGUCGGCCUGCGCGGAAGAUGUAACGGGGCUAAACCAUGCACCGAAGCUGCGGCAGCGACGCUUAUGCGUUGUUGGGUAGGGGAGCGUUCUGUAAGCCUGCGAAGGUGUGCUGUGAGGCAUGCUGGAGGUAUCAGAAGUGCGAAUGCUGACAUAAGUAACGAUAAAGCGGGUGAAAAGCCCGCUCGCCGGAAGACCAAGGGUUCCUGUCCAACGUUAAUCGGGGCAGGGUGAGUCGACCCCUAAGGCGAGGCCGAAAGGCGUAGUCGAUGGGAAACAGGUUAAUAUUCCUGUACUUGGUGUUACUGCGAAGGGGGGACGGAGAAGGCUAUGUUGGCCGGGCGACGGUUGUCCCGGUUUAAGCGUGUAGGCUGGUUUUCCAGGCAAAUCCGGAAAAUCAAGGCUGAGGCGUGAUGACGAGGCACUACGGUGCUGAAGCAACAAAUGCCCUGCUUCCAGGAAAAGCCUCUAAGCAUCAGGUAACAUCAAAUCGUACCCCAAACCGACACAGGUGGUCAGGUAGAGAAUACCAAGGCGCUUGAGAGAACUCGGGUGAAGGAACUAGGCAAAAUGGUGCCGUAACUUCGGGAGAAGGCACGCUGAUAUGUAGGUGAAGUCCCUCGCGGAUGGAGCUGAAAUCAGUCGAAGAUACCAGCUGGCUGCAACUGUUUAUUAAAAACACAGCACUGUGCAAACACGAAAGUGGACGUAUACGGUGUGACGCCUGCCCGGUGCCGGAAGGUUAAUUGAUGGGGUCAGCGCAAGCGAAGCUCUUGAUCGAAGCCCCGGUAAACGGCGGCCGUAACUAUAACGGUCCUAAGGUAGCGAAAUUCCUUGUCGGGUAAGUUCCGACCUGCACGAAUGGCGUAAUGAUGGCCAGGCUGUCUCCACCCGAGACUCAGUGAAAUUGAACUCGCUGUGAAGAUGCAGUGUACCCGCGGCAAGACGGAAAGACCCCGUGAACCUUUACUAUAGCUUGACACUGAACAUUGAGCCUUGAUGUGUAGGAUAGGUGGGAGGCUUGGAAGUGUGGACGCCAGUCUGCAUGGAGCCGACCUUGAAAUACCACCCUUUAAUGUUUGAUGUUCUAACGUUGACCCGUAAUCCGGGUUGCGGACAGUGUCUGGUGGGUAGUUUGACUGGGGCGGUCUCCUCCUAAAGAGUAACGGAGGAGCACGAAGGUUGGCUAAUCCUGGUCGGACAUCAGGAGGUUAGUGCAAUGGCAUAAGCCAGCUUGACUGCGAGCGUGACGGCGCGAGCAGGUGCGAAAGCAGGUCAUAGUGAUCCGGUGGUUCUGAAUGGAAGGGCCAUCGCUCAACGGAUAAAAGGUACUCCGGGGAUAACAGGCUGAUACCGCCCAAGAGUUCAUAUCGACGGCGGUGUUUGGCACCUCGAUGUCGGCUCAUCACAUCCUGGGGCUGAAGUAGGUCCCAAGGGUAUGGCUGUUCGCCAUUUAAAGUGGUACGCGAGCUGGGUUUAGAACGUCGUGAGACAGUUCGGUCCCUAUCUGCCGUGGGCGCUGGAGAACUGAGGGGGGCUGCUCCUAGUACGAGAGGACCGGAGUGGACGCAUCACUGGUGUUCGGGUUGUCAUGCCAAUGGCACUGCCCGGUAGCUAAAUGCGGAAGAGAUAAGUGCUGAAAGCAUCUAAGCACGAAACUUGCCCCGAGAUGAGUUCUCCCUGACUCCUUGAGAGUCCUGAAGGAACGUUGAAGACGACGACGUUGAUAGGCCGGGUGUGUAAGCGCAGCGAUGCGUUGAGCUAACCGGUACUAAUGAACCGUGAGGCUUAACCUU
Molecule: ribosomal RNA, 2902 nt
Filed under: human gut metagenome
Description: bacterial LSU rRNA
Rfam family: Bacterial large subunit ribosomal RNA
Source: RNAcentral